GCCUUCCGGCCCCUGCCCCCCCGCCCCGCCCCCCAGCUGCCCCGGGGCGCCGAGAACCGCGGCGACCCUGGACUCGGCGCCAGUGGUGGGCGUGGGCCGGACGGAGCAGCGGGCCUGGAGCUGGGGAGGGGGAAUCUAAGGAGGGGGCAGGAGCACCCCCAGGGAUCCUAGAGGCGAUCCCGGGAUCCUGGUUGGCGUUGGGGGCCGGGUGCGGGAGGGUGAGCCUGCGAGCAUCUCAGCGCCGCACAGCAACGUGCUUCGACCUCUGCAUCUUUGCAGUGGCGCGAAGGGCAGCGCGGCAGGUGCAGGCAGGAGACGCCAAGGGAGAGGAGACGUGGUGCCCCCCCGGAGACUUCCCUAUUACCGCCGCAAAACUGCCCCUGGCGAGCUGUUGGGGUGCCUCGUGUCCGUGAGGUGGGGGCGGGAGAAGUUGGGCAGGAGCUCGGCCGACAGUAACGUAGAAGACACACGUUAAGGGUGGUCUCUCAUCUGCUCACUGAGCUUGUCGCCUCUUCCCGUUUGCCCAUUUAUGCAGCCAGAUGAACUGUAGCCAGUCAUUGCCCUAUGCUUUUCUUAAAGUCAGAGCAUUUUCCCCACAAAUCCUGCCAUAGAUGGGUCCUGGGGGGCGUGCAAGUGACUGUAUCACAGAAACGUAUAGUUCGUCUGAAGACAGGGGAUAGUUUGGCUAGUGUUACACUUCUUACAGAGAUUUUCACUGGCAGCUGCUCUGUGUUCAGGCACUGUGCUGGGUGCCAAUGGAGACAGCGGAGACCACAGCAGAGGACUGCUUUCAUCGUCCAGGUGUUUCCCCUCCCCCACAACCCACAGCUUCAGCUGACCAGAGUUGUUUUCAGGGUAAUUUCCUCUUAAUUACCUACACAUACUUCCUCACAAUUUCAUGUGGCAGUGCUGUUUUGCCCCCGCACUGUAUGCUCUUUCCUUAGCUUCCUGCUUUCCCUUUCCAGUCUUUCUAUUGCUGUUUUAAUAGUCCCUGCCUUUCAAACUCCAUUUCUCUAUUUCUAUUGGUUCCUUUUUCGGGUCCUUCUGAUUCUGAUAGAAAGAAACAUGUAACCCCCACUCAAAGCAAUGAAACCCGGAUCCUCAACAGCAGCAACAGAUUUUGGUAACAAAUCAUUUUGAACCAUAUGACUGCCAAAGUCUGAGCAGAAAGAAGAGAAUUCUGUUAGAAUUCAAACCCUAAGUCUACACUUAAUUGCAUGCUUUAUUCUAAUGGAAGAACUUGCGUAAGCUCCUUGACACCAUCUUGCCAUUAUGCCCAGUCUGCCUGCCUUCUUAUAGAGCAGUAAAACCUGAGAUCCCAGGUGGAAUAUGAAACUACCAGGAAUGGUUCAGGAAGCUGAGAAUGGUUCUGUUGGGAGCAUGGGGAGAGAAGGAAGGACAGCUCCAAAAGGUAUUCGGCUACAUAAACACCUGUUACAUGGGAGAGAGGUCAUACUCUAAGUGAUGGAGACCAACCAUGCCCCUCAUCUGAUGACCUGAAGUUUUGAGAUUGUAUGGGGAGAGAGUGGAAAUAGGGAUGUAGGACACACAAAGAUAAUGAAGGAGCGGUUGCUGAAACUGGGGAAGAAUUUAAACGGGAGAGUGUUGGAAUCUUACAUUCAGCCUUUCCUAUAGGGCAUGGAAUUCAGGCAUUACAGUUCGAGGUCCAUUAGGCAGGUCUUUGGAAAACAAGAGACAGAAUUAAACAGUAGUGUGAGACAUGUAAGUUUAGGUGACUAAGAAUCUCUUGCCAGUAUGGUCGUAGACACUCAGAAGGUCUUUUAAAAAAAAUCAGGAUUUGGGAGAGGUGGGGAAGAUGACCUAAAUAUGAGCUAGCCCAGUAUAACACUUGCAAGUCUCUAAAAAUAAAAUUCGUGAUGAUGUGUCAUCAGUGCUUUGGUGGCAAUGGAGGGUCAGAGCUUCUGCUAGGCUGCGUUUGUCUUCACGCCCCUGAAGUUGCUGGCAAAUCAGAAAAUCAGAAGAGUUUUUAACAUGGAAGGAGGGAGAGGAAAGGGGAAGGUAAUCGGAUUUAUGGGGCCAUCUGGCAGGCCAUGUGUCCCAGGGGCAGAGAUAGCUUUACAGCCAGAACUGGCAGCAAUUUCUAGUGACUCUCCCCAGCCCUCAAAUACCCCCAAACCUGCUUGUAUGAAGCAGUCCUUCUUUAAAAUCAAUGCCUAAAAGAGAUCUGACUGUUCCCAUGGGGUGGUGGAGAUGGAAGGUUGCUGAGAGGAGAAAGGCUGAGAAUCAAAAAGCCUAGUUUAAACCUCAGUGCUUAAAUUGCCUUUACGGGACGAAGACAAGACUGGCGAGUGACUCAGAUUCAAAUGUUGUGAUUCAAAGAGCUUUUCUAUUUGAGUCAUGCCCGAGGAAAGCCUUAUUCUUAUUCCAGGUUUGGAAUUGCCUCUGGGUUCGUGCUCAGAAUCACUAUGCCUGGGGGCACACUCAAGGUGUUCGCGGUCAACAGCAGCUAUGAACAGACCGGUGUUGGUAUAUUGCUCAUGUAAAGUGCUCCUAUGGAUUCCCCCUGAGACUUCAAGUCGUUGCUCCUUGAGGUGAGGGGUCAGUUAGAGAUGAACGGAACCCUGCCAAUGGCCCCACUCCUCCGCUUUAUCCUGCCCGGCAUGGCAGCAGAUUUCCGAUGAAGCAGGGUCUCCCAAGACUCUUGGAACUAGGGGUGAACUGGAACACCUGCCACCUCUUCAGCUGCUAUCAAUGAAUGCAGAUUGUCCUUCUGCAUCUUCCCAGAUCCCUCUGUUGCUCAUCCCCAACCUCGCCCUUUGCAACCGUAAACCCCAGAAGUAAGACUGUCCCUACCGUUAAUCUAAAGCUUUUGCCUGACACCACGCAGACUUUAGGAGUUCAGACAGUUAACAUCUGGGGAACUCGUUACAUUCAUCAAAUAUGAUGGGACCAGGAAAGCUGUUCUAGGGAGGAGAAAAUAAUAACACUAGCCUGAUUCGUGCGAAGAAGUUACUAUUGAUAGAAAAGUAUUUUGAAACUAUAACGUGAUUCAUAUGUGCUAAAUAACUAGUAGAAGUCAGUGUCAUUGACAGCAUGGAUUUAGAAACACUGAACAUUCAAAUCUCAAACUUUGCUGUUAAAAAUGUUUUUCUCUUACUGCCACAAAGGGUCAGUAGUGAGACCCACUCUUUUCCCAAACUGUGUCUUGCUAAAUGGUAGGACUAUAAAAGAGAAAACAACAGAAGAAUAGUUGGACUGUGUAACGCUAUUAAAAAGAUCUGGAAAUCGGGAGACACCUCUUAAUCAGUCACUAGGUUGGCAAUGGUAAUCAGAUGGAUUGAGUGCUUCGAUGCCCCCUGCCAAUCAAGAUCACAUUGGUCCCAAGGCUCCCAUCGUGUUGCACCCUGGUCUAUGCUACUUUGCGAUGAGAGACCCAGCUAAGAGCACAAGUUGUUUUCUCGCAAGGCUGAGCACCUCCACAGCCUGUGCUAGGAGAACUCUCUCUCUUUCUGUUAACCUUUUUAAGCCCUUGAUGAUUUCAGAACAAUUCUGUCUGAAGACCCAAUUCAUUCCUACUGUAUUUUAUGAUGGAGAAUUCCAAAAUCUCUCACCUGAGAAUUUCUUCAAAUGCUGAAUUCUUCAAAUUAUUGGCCGGGGGUGGAGGGGUGGCUGCACCGUGGGGAAGGAGCGAGGGGAGUGAAGACCACUCACCAGGAAGCUUCCUGCCCACUCCCAGACAGAGGCAAUGGCGACCCUUCGGGAAUGAAGACUAGCUGCACUCCUAAUUUUCUCCCCAAGAAUCUCAGCUCUGAUACCUUUGUAUUUGGGGUCUUACACACAGAAUUCAUUCCCUUCGUUCAUUGAUAUAAACAAAUA
Molecule: long non-coding RNA, 3837 nt
Filed under: Equus caballus (horse)
Lineage: Eukaryota; Metazoa; Chordata; Mammalia; Perissodactyla; Equidae
Description: lncRNA (ENSECAG00000039537.2)
Source: RNAcentral